GACGAACGCUGGCGGCGUGCCUAAUACAUGCAAGUAGAACGCACUUGCGAACGGGUGAGUACCGCGUAGGUAACUGCCUCAUAGCGUGGGAUAACUAUUGGAAACGAUAGCUAAUAUCGCAUACUGUGAGAUGGACCUGCGUUUUAUUAGCUAGUUGGUGAGGUAAAGGCUCACCAAGGCGUCGGUACAUAGCCGACCUGAGAGGGUGGUCGGGCACACUUGGACCGAGACACGGCCCAGACUCCGUCGGGGGGCAGCAGUAGGGAAGCUUCGGCAAAGGGCGGAAGUCUGAACGAACAACUCCGCGUGAGUUAAGAAGGGUUUCGGGUCGUAAAGCUCUGUUAUUAGAGAAGCGGUAACUAAACAGAAAGGGACGGCUAACUACGUGCCAGCAGCCGCGGUAAUAC
RNAcentral lists this ribosomal RNA (407 nucleotides) under uncultured bacterium. Its description in RNAcentral is "partial 16S ribosomal RNA". It matches the Rfam family "Bacterial small subunit ribosomal RNA", at positions 28 to 526 of the family's 1533-position model. The record is from RNAcentral.